UCAAUGCAAGAGCCAAACGGUUGGCCUAGGAGACGGAGACCAAGUUGCGCAGGAGGUAUAGCGCGUUGUGUGGCCUUGAUUAUUGUAGGCCAUGCGGUAAACAGAUUGCAUUGUACAAUAUAACAACUACCACCACAAGAGGCGCUGAAAAACCGUUGUAUACCAGGUGUACUCUCUACGAACAUGAUGCGCGGUACUAAAGGACUGAGGAUAGUUAGGAGAUUGUAGUUUGAAUGAGGUUUCUGACAUUUUGGGCCCAUGAUGUCGGGAAGUUUCUUCUUGAAGAAAAAAGAACGAACCUAACAUGGACGUUUUACAACAAACCAUCUUAAUAUGGAAUGAGUUUUAUACCUGCAAAUCGGUAAAUUUACAUUGUAUGAAGUACGAAUUCAUUUUUACAAUUUGUAUUACAUGUACGUCUCGUGGACCGUAUGUUCUGCAGUUGUACCACGUUGCAUCCAGCCAUUUUUAAUGUUAAGGGUUUCCUGUUGCUGAUGUACUAGCCAUGAUACUGACAGAUUUUCAUCUUAUUGGAAGAAGCAUGAAGUGGAGCUUUUUAGAGAGCCUGACAAAGAUAUCAUAGCUGUCGUCAACAUGGAAUGACAUGGUGGGAGAAUUGCCAACCAUUGGUCGUUCAGCUGUAGGUGUUUGUUACGAAAAUUUACGAAAAUCAGACAAUGAGGGUCGCCAUGGUGGUUAUCUCGGAGACUCAGCCGAAUGCGAAGCACGUUAAGAAGCAGCGUAGUACUUCAGGAGAACCACGAAUUAUGCACACCGAGGCCAAACAGUAAGGGCCGAUGUAACAAUUAACACAUCUGUGAGCAAGGACCUUUACGGGAUAUGGAAUCCUCAAAACGUAUGUGGAAAACGCCUGACAGAAUGUGUAAGCUAUUUUGGUCAGGCACAUUGGAACUUAAGGUUUCUUGUGUUGGGUACAUCAAAGCAGUAAUAAUUGUACUACAAAAAAUAUGCAAGGCAUGCUGGUCUGUUCUUUUCAAUAAUGAGACAAGUAGAUUUAUCAAGUAACGUUAAGGAACCCUAAGGUUACUAUAACUGAUGAGGUUAAUGUCAUGGAGAUGUCAUCAAGCUUCCAUCUCGAUGUAUAUAAAACCUGCUGGCCUUUGGUCUUAUUAUUUGACCAACUAUUGUGAAUCAAGUCAACAUUAGCUUCAAAACGAAGAGGAAAGAAUAAUAUAGAAUUUGUGGGGUUUGCACCAACCGUGGACAAUUCUUCUAUUUCAGAAUUGCAAGGCUUUUGCGGUCCAGCCUAAGCGAAAACUCCUGUGUAACUUAUUACAUGAUGAACUGUCGGGUCUUUGGAGAUGGUUAUGCCUGAUUAAACUCUUCUGAAAGUGAAGCAUUUGUCUAUGAAUAAUGGUAACCCCAAGUGCGUCAAAACUUCGUUCCUAAAAAAGAAGUGUCUAGGGAUGAAGAAGCAGAUGAAGCAGGCGAUAGCGAAUGUAAACUGUUGCUGUACAGUGUGCGCUCGUGGCAUCUCCGGUGUUAGCAGUGCAAUUGGCACAUGGAGCGGUGUUUCAGCAUGCAGACGUCUUUCGGUGCAACGGCUGGACAACGAAAUAGGCAACGGUUAUGAUGUGUCCCGCAGUAUGUUCCAUUACGAUCGCCGUAACGGAACAUGUACGUGAUUUCGUAUUCUAUGUCCGGACAUUGGAAACAUUUUAGGUGAUAUUCUUUGUUUGUACAUCGUGAUGCCACAUGAAACCUCUCGUUGUUUGUUUAGGACAAUGUAACCGAUCUAUGCUGGUACAGUUUUGUAAUGAUAGUCUUAAAGAGUCCAGGGAAU
Molecule: long non-coding RNA, 1804 nt
Organism: Daphnia carinata
Lineage: Eukaryota; Metazoa; Arthropoda; Branchiopoda; Diplostraca; Daphniidae
Exons: 8
Source: RefSeq, a predicted model, not a curated record